RNA transcript from Dioscorea cayenensis subsp. rotundata (Guinea yam), 1852 nucleotides. RefSeq lists it as uncharacterized. The record is from RefSeq and is a predicted model, not a curated record. The transcript is spliced from 7 exons. Lineage: Eukaryota; Viridiplantae; Streptophyta; Magnoliopsida; Dioscoreales; Dioscoreaceae.
CAUCUUCAUCCCUUCUCAUUGUUGCCCAUCUUCAUCCCUUCUCAUUGUUGCCGGAGGAUCGAGGUUUUUUUCCUCGCGGAUGCUCUUUGAACCCUAAACCUUCUUGCAGACCUUGGUGGGGGAGAAGAGCACUCGAAUUGGAUGGCAGGAUCUCCAUGAAACCUGUCAAUUAAUCCUUGAUUCCUACUCGGAGGCCGGCAAUCUGAAACUCCUAGUGUGGACGUGGGCACCAGCGAGGCAUCACAGCAGCCUUUUCAAGCUCCAACUACUAGACAGGAGAGGGAACUGCAGACCCUUCUUUGCCAACUACAACAGAGUGUGGGCUCCCUUGCAGAGGACGUUCAGAAGUUGAAAGUGAAGAACUCUCAUGUAUAUAUAAGCUACAAAAUAUGCACACACUCAAAUUAGCACACAUUACUUCAUGGUGUUGGAAGUUUAUGUUGAUAUAAAUAUUUUGUUGAUAAUAAGGGUGUUAAGCAAUUAAAGGGAGAGACAUAGACAAGGCGAGAGAAUAAAUAUCAAAUAUAUAUAUUUGAAGUGUAGUAGUAUAGUUGUUAUUAUCGGUAGUUAUUGGCACUGGUUUUUAAUGGUGUCUAGUAUGAUGUAAUGGGUUUUGGUAGUAGUGAAAGCAAGGAGUGUGUGUGCCUUUUUUACUGUGUUUUUUUGGCGUAUGUGUUUGGGGAGUUGUGAUCGAAUGGCUGAUUCAGCAAAUCUACCUCUGUGCGGUAUUAUCCCUCAGGGAUCUAGUAUUGUGAAGCAAGAAGGCAUGUUUGGUGGGUCAAGCACUUGAAAUCAACUAUUUCCAAGUCAGAAACUAUUUGGAGUGUUAAUUCUUCAACCUAUGGAUAAAACAUGGAUAAACCUUACAUCAAGAGCAAGUGAAGAGUAUAUAAAUGGGGCCACCAAUUUCUUAGAUUUUUCCUUUGCCAAAUUAUCCGAAGAUGGUAAAAUUUGGUGUCCUUGUGUUAAAUGAGUGAACACAUAUAUGGUGUCCAGACAAGAAGCAUUUGAUCACAUUAUUUGUGAUGGCUUUCUUAAAGGAUAUGUUCGAUGGAUUUUUCAUGGGGAAACCACGGAAGUAGCUACUUCUACUGUUAUAAGUAAUGAAGAAGAAAUAGUGUUUGACAAUGAUAUUCAUGAGUUAUUGCAUGAUAUGAUGGCUGAAGAAGAUAUGAAUGCUGAUGUCCAUAAUAUGCAAUCAGAAGAAAGUCACUGGGGUCAACAUUAUGCUCACAAAAUUCAUAGUGACAAUUUUUAUAGCUUGCUUAAAGAUGCUGAGGUGGAAUUAUAUCCGGGUUGCAAGAAUUUUACAAAAUUCUCUUUUGCUAUCUAUUUGUUCCACAUUAAAUGUUUUAAUGGGUGGACCAACAAAUCCUUCAAUGCAUUACUAGAGCUACUGAAACUUGUUCUACCAGAAGGUAAUACAUUGCCAAGGUCAUAUCAAGAAAUGAAAAAGAUGAUUUCGUCAUUAAGUUUGGGUUAUGAAAAAAUUCAUGCUUGUCCCAAUGAUUGCAUACUAUUUUGGAAGGAGAAUGCAAAUGAAGAUAAAUGCACAAAAUGUGGAGCUUCAAGAUGGAAAGAGAGCUUGAAUGAUGGAAAAAGUGAUUUCCAAGAUGCUUUUACAAAAAAAGAAAAAGAAAGCUGCCAAAAUAUUACGAUGGUUUCCUCUUAUUCCAAGAUUGCAAAAGUUAUUUAUGUCUUCAAAAACUGCUUCUCUAAUGACUUGGCCAUAUAUAUGUUGGAGUUGGUGGAAGUGAAAGAACUGCUUUGUAUUGGGCUUCACAGUGAGUGAAAAACUAUUAUGGAUAGCUUUCUGUUACACUCUUUUGUUUGCCGCUAUUGUUGACUUAGA